Molecule: ribosomal RNA, 497 nt
Filed under: uncultured bacterium
Lineage: Bacteria
Description: partial 16S ribosomal RNA
Rfam family: Bacterial small subunit ribosomal RNA
Source: RNAcentral
GAUGAACGCUGGCGGCGUGCCUAAUACAUGCAAGUCGAGCGAACGGACGAGAAGCUUGCUUCUCUGAUGUUAGCGGCGGAUGGGUGAGUAACACGUGGAUAACCUACCUAUAAGACUGGGAUAACUUCGGGAAACCGGAGCUAAUACCGGAUAAUAUUUUGAACCGCAUGGUUCAAAAGUGAAAGACGGUCUUGCUGUCACUUAUAGAUGGAUCCGCGCUGCAUUAGCUAGUUGGUAAGGUAACGGCUUACCAAGGCAACGAUGCAUAGCCGCCCUGAGAGGGUGAUCGGCCACACUGGAACUGAGACACGGUCCAGACUCCUACGGGAGGCAGCAGUAGGGAAUCUUCCGCAAUGGGCGAAAGCCUGACGGAGCAACGCCGCGUGAGUGAUGAAGGUCUUCGGAUCGUAAAACUCUGUUAUUAGGGAAGAACAUAUGUGUAAGUAACUGUGCACAUCUUGACGGUACCUAAUCAGAAAGCCACGGCUAACUACGUG